GAGACUAUGAGAGACUGUGAGUGAGUUCUUGAACAGGGUUACACAUUCAAGAACCCAUCAAUAUCUCUGUUUUUCUUCCUUGAUUUGUUGCUUAUUAAGUUGGGAAAGUGUGUGACAAAAAAGGUAUAUAUAGAUAUGGCCCUCACGCACAUCACAUUCCGAAUGAAGAAAGUAAGGGCAAUCUUUAAAGGACAUUUCACC
Molecule: long non-coding RNA, 201 nt
Filed under: Vigna radiata
Lineage: Eukaryota; Viridiplantae; Streptophyta; Magnoliopsida; Fabales; Fabaceae
Description: long non-coding RNA (VRAD_LNC016384)
Source: RNAcentral